GGUUGUGGCUCAGUGGUAAAGCGCUUGCCUAGCACCUGCCAGGCGCUGGGUUCAAUCCUCAGCACCA
This 67-nucleotide transfer RNA is filed under the name Marmota monax (woodchuck). RNAcentral's name for it is "tRNA.Ala". Lineage: Eukaryota; Metazoa; Chordata; Mammalia; Rodentia; Sciuridae. The record is from RNAcentral.